This 76-nucleotide transfer RNA is filed under the name Cereibacter sphaeroides. Its description in RNAcentral is "tRNA-Ala". It matches the Rfam family "tRNA". From Rfam's summary of the family: Transfer RNA (tRNA) molecules are approximately 80 nucleotides in length. Their secondary structure includes four short double-helical elements and three loops (D, anti-codon, and T loops). The record is from RNAcentral. Lineage: Bacteria; Pseudomonadati; Pseudomonadota; Alphaproteobacteria; Rhodobacterales; Paracoccaceae. RNAcentral also lists the same sequence under 18 other names.
GGGGCUGUAGCUCAGAUGGGAGAGCGCGUCGUUCGCAAUGACGAGGUCAGGGGUUCGAUCCCCCUCAGCUCCACCA